GUACCUGCUAAGUUCCGGUACCCCUUCUACUACGAGAUGUGUUGGUACGUGUUGGAGCGCUACGUCUACUGCCUGACCGGCACCUCCUACCUCACGCCGGCCUUCCAGAGGGAGGCUCGCCCUCAUCGAUUUCCCGGAGUUGGAGAGAGCCAACCCCACGUUCCCCAUCAAGAUGGAGGCUGCAGAAGAUGACAACAGCAGCAGUCAUAACAACAUCACCAACAGCUAUAGCCAUGACGGCGGUGACGGCGGUGACGGCGGUGGUGGCUGUGUUGGCGGUGAUAAUGGUUGUAGUGUUGAUGGCGGUGAUGGCGGUGGCUUUAGCGGUGGAGGUGAUGGUUGUGGCAGUGGUUGCGAUGGGGAUGGUGUUGGCUACGCACAGCCUCACCCGGGAUGCAAACGGCAGUGGCUGCUGUCGCCGCCGUCGUCGCCACCACCACCACCACCAUCGGCAACCACCUCAGUCUCGUCUGCAACUACAACAACCGACGCUACACCCUGCGUCGCUACGGCCGUUGUUGCUCCAACAAGCACCAGAACAGCCACGUCAACAACGGACGGAGCGGUGCCAUCUCGCGGCGCAACCUGGCCGACAUUCGGACCGGCAACGGCGGCCGGAGCGGCCGGCGGUGUCGCCGCCACAGCCGUUGCCGCGGAUGGAGACGCUGUAGCGGCUACAGGCGGCACGCCGGCGGCUGAAGGGGUUGCCAUAGCGACGGCCGAGCGCAACGUAGCCGCGGCAAAAGCAGCAGCGGCCACAACCGCGGAGGCGGCGGCGGAGGCGGCGGAGGCGGCGGCGGCGGCGUUGGGUGCCGUGGAUACGGCUGCAGCCGGAGCUACAGCCGGAACUACAGCCCCGGUGGCGACAGCUGGAACCGCAGCCCCAGUGGUGAUUAUCGGAACUGCGGCCCCGGUGGCGACAGGCGGAGUUGCGGCUGUGGCUGAAGCAGUGGCGGCGGCGGCAACAACAACAACGACGACGACAACGAGAUGUUCUCCGUAUCCAGGCGCUUUGGAAACGCAACGGCCGCCCGAGUCGCAGCAACAACAGUCGCAGCACGGCGAGCAUCAACAGCAACGCGAACAGCAGCAGCUGCAGCAGCUGCUGCAACACCAGCAGGCGGAACAGCAGCGUCAUUUGGACCGCCAACAGCAACAGCAACAGCUGCUGCUGCUGGACGACCAUCGACCCCGCCAGCAACUCUGCCAGCAACAACAAUCGCUGCAACAACCUCGGUGGGCUGGAGCCCCAGUGGAGGGGAAGGUGGACAAUGCAGCUUCACCACAGUGGAGUGGAGCCCCAGUGGAUGUGAAGGUGGACAAUGCAGCUUCACCACAGUGGAGUGGAGCCCCAGUGGAUGUGAAGGUGGACAAUGCAGCUUCACCACAGUGGAGUGGAGCCCCAGUGGAGGGGAAGGUGGACAAUGCAGCUUCACCACAGUGGAGUGGAGUCCCAGUGGAGGUGAAGGUGGACAAUGCAGCUUCACCACAGUGGAGUGUAGCCCCAGUGGAUGUGAAGGUGGACUGUCUGGCUCCACCACAGUGGACUGGAGCCCCAGUGGAUGUGAAGGUGGACAAUGCAGCUUCACAGUUGACUGAAGUCCCAGUGGAGAUGAAGGUGGACAGCCUGACUCCACCCCAGUGGGCUGGAGUCCCAGUGGAUGUGAAGGUGGACAGCGUGGCUCCACCCCAGUGGGCUGGAGUCCCAGUGGAGAUGAAGGUGGAGAGCGUGGCUCCACCCCAGUGGACUGGAGCCCCAGUGGAGGGGAAGGUGGACAGCCUGACUCCACCACAGUGGGCUGGAGUCCCAGUGGAUGUGAAGGUGGACUGUUUGACUCCACCACAGUGGACUGGAGUCCCAGUGGAGGGGAAGGUGGACAGCCUGACUCCACCACAGUGGGCUGGAGUCCCAGUGGAUGUGAAGGUGGACUGUUUGACUCCACCACAGUGGACUGGAGUCCCACUGGAGGGGAAGGUGGACAAUGCAGCUUCACCACAGUGGACUGGAGUCCCAGUGGAUGUGAAGGUGGAGAGCGUGGCUCCACCCCAGUGGGCUGGAGUCCCAGUGGAGGGGAAGGUGGACAAUGCACCUUCACCACAGUGGAGUGUAGCCCCAGUGGACAUGAAGGUGGACAGCGUGGCUCCACCCCAGUGGGCUGGAGUCCCAGUGGAGAUGAAGGUGGACGAGCGUGGCUCCACCACAGUGGGCUGGAGUACCAGUGGAGGGGAAGGUGGACAAUGCAGCUUCACCACAGUGGAGUGUAGCCCCAGUGGACAUGAAGGUGGACAGCCUGGCUCCACCCCAGUGGGCUGGAGUCCCAGUGGAUGUGAAGGUGGACUGUUUGACUCCACCACAGUGGACUGGAGCCCCAGUGGAUGUGAAGGUGGACUGUUUGACUCCACCCCAGUGGGCUGGAGCCCCAGUGGAUGUGAAGGUGGACUGUUUGACUCCACCACAGUGGACUGGAGUCCCAGUGGAUGUGAAGGUGGACAGCCUGGCUCCACCACAGUGGACUGGAGUCCCAGUGGAUGUGAAGUGGACAAUGCGGCUCCACCCCUCGGGCACGUCCUGGUGGUGGUUCCGGUGCCACUGCUGGGACAGCCGCCACCUCCUGCUCCGUCGGGGGCCUCUGUGGCCUUCACCGUGGCUUCCCUCCGUGGCCUCCUCUGGCGACUCUUCCGUGGCCCUCCGUGGCAAUCCACCGGGGCCACCGCGGCCUCCACCGGCGUCUCUACUGUGGCCUCCUCUGCGGUCUCUUCCGGGGCCUCCUCGGGCAGCUUCUCCCUGGCCUCCGGCGUCGCCUCCGGGGCAUCCUCUGGGGCGACUGUGGCCUCCGUCGUGGCCUCCUCUGAGGCUACUGUGGCCUCCACCGUGGCCUCCUCUGAGGCUACUGUGGCCUCCACCGUGGCCUCCUCUGGGGCGACUGUGGCCUCUACCCCUCGCCUCCUCUGAGGCUACUGUGGCCUCCACCGUGGCCUCAUCUGAGGCUACUGUGGCCUCUACCCUCGCCUCCUCUGAGGCGACUGUGGCCUCCACCGUGGCCUCCUCUGGGGCCACUGUGGCCUCCACCGUGGCCUCCUCUGAGGCGACUGUGGCCUCUACCCUCGCCUCCUCUGAGGCGACUGUGGCCUCUACCCUCGCCUCCUCUGGGGCGACUGGGGCCUCUACGUGGCCUCAUCUGUGGCCUCUACCCUCGCCUCUUCUGGGGCGACUGUGACCUCCACCGUGGCCUCCUCUGAGGCUACUGUGGCCUCCACCGGGGCCUCUACUCUGGCCUUCUCCGGGGCCACCUCCGGGGCCUCCUCAGUGGCGUCCACCAUGGCCUCCACCGUGGCCUCCUCUGAGGCUACUGCGGCCCCCGCCGGGGCCGCCUCCUCCUCCUCCUCCGCCGGGGCCGCCUCCUCUUCGGCGGUGGCGGCCGCGGCGGUGCUGCUGACGGCGCUGGAACGCGUGGGCCUCAGCGCCCUGGUCUCCCGCCUCUCGGCGCUGCCCCCGGGAAAGCGAUGCGUGCCGCCCGGCAUCGGCCAACCCGACCACCUGCUGGGACACAUAGCGGCGCUGCUCGAGCUGCACGCCGGGGACGACGUGGAGGCGGCCCAUCACCGGAAGUCCCCAUCGUCACCUGGCCCCGCCCCCACCCGACGC
Petromyzon marinus (sea lamprey) is the source of this 3646-nucleotide non-coding RNA. Lineage: Eukaryota; Metazoa; Chordata; Hyperoartia; Petromyzontiformes; Petromyzontidae. The record is from RefSeq and is a predicted model, not a curated record.